AAAUGGAAGAUGAUCCUUUGUCCAAAGAUGAGAAGGGCAUAACGAGAAAUGAUUAUCAAAAAGUUGAAUUAAAGUAUCAGGAAUCUAGCAUAACUUUGGAAGCAACAUCGAUUAAUCCAGAUGAACUGCCCCCUUUACCUACUGCUCCUCCACCUCCUUUGGAUUCUCCACCACUACCGCCACCUCCUCCACCCUUGUCUCCCUCACCCCCAUCGCCGCCUCCCCCACCUCCACCAUCAUCACCAUCACCACCUCCACCCCCACCCCCACCACCCUUGCCAAUAUCUGGACAAACAUCUCUUCCUUCUGUUCCAAUUCUACCAACAGUGUCACCUUCUCCA
Molecule: long non-coding RNA, 341 nt
Filed under: Musa acuminata (dwarf banana)
Lineage: Eukaryota; Viridiplantae; Streptophyta; Magnoliopsida; Zingiberales; Musaceae
Description: long non-coding RNA (MACU_LNC005451)
Source: RNAcentral